GAAGGAAGGGACAAGGAAAACCUGUAUUUUAAUUACCUAGCUGGAAAUGUCUUAUGCACCUGGCACAUAGAGGCUGCUGGAGUUGCAGGAGCCAUCCUCUUUCCAGCCCUUAAUAUGCUGCCAAAGUGGAAGAAAAACAUCUGAAGGAGGCUGAGUCCAAAACAGGAUUCUCAGUAGUGCACUUAGAUUCUUCCCUCCUGACAGUGGAAACACCACUGUCUUCUGGUGCUCCGGGGAGGAGGCAACAGUGAACAGCAAAGCAAAGGUCGACCCUGCCUGGAAAUAUUUGUGUAUUGUGCUGAUAUUGCAGCGAUGACAACAGGCCAACCUGUGUGCUAUUGCUCUGCGCGUGUUGGGAAGGUAUUUUUGCUUUCCCCUGGUCUAAGCUGGGAUCUCCAGAAGCUUUAGAUCCGCUCCUGUUAUCUGCUGUCUCCUGACCUCUCCUCACCUUGGGGAUUCCAACGCAAGGCCACUGACCCUAUCGUAGGACACAAGGACUCAAACAGUGGGCUGAGCUGGGGACUGCAUGGCCUUGCUGAAAUCUGGGGAGAGGCCAACAGGAGAUCCUAGGGCAGAAAGGUGAGGUUUAAAUUCAAUGCCUGCUACACUGUCAUGUGGGUCCUCCCAUGCAAGGGGGACAAAUGCAAGCAGAGAGCUGCCCAAGUUGCGGCUGAGAAGAAGCAUCUGCCAUUGGGGACUGCUAAAACAACACCACACCUUCUCCCAAAUCUUCCAGGAGGCACAGGUUGCUAUCAUACACCUCUCCCAUCAUGGGUGUAGGCCCUUUAAUCCCACUGAAUCCAUCAGGCCUGCAUGAAAAACCCACACUGUGAUCCAGCAGGUGAUCCAGAAACGCUCCCGGGAGCCACAGAAGUGAUGUCGCUGCUCAGUCCACUGCGCAAGGGGAGCAUUGCGUCUUGUAUUGCUUUGGGAAGGCAAAAAAUCCCACUGCAAAGGAUUUUUUAGCCAGCUGAAGCAGGCCGGGCCCCCCGGGUCUCCACAGGGCAAGGGCGGACCCAGCGCGGCUCUCCCCGAGAACCAGCCAGCUGCCCGCACCGGGACUGGCGACGUGGGGAG
Molecule: long non-coding RNA, 1077 nt
Filed under: Struthio camelus australis
Lineage: Eukaryota; Metazoa; Chordata; Aves; Struthioniformes; Struthionidae
Description: lncRNA (ENSSCUG00000001631.1)
Source: RNAcentral